AGUGAACGCUGGCGGUAGGCCUAACACAUGCAAGUCGAACGGCAGCACAGCAGUAGCAAUACUGUGGGUGGCGAGUGGCGGACGGGUGAGGAAUACAUCGGAAUCUACCUUUUCGUGGGGGAUAACGUAGGGAAACUUACGCUAAUACCGCAUAAGACCUUCGGGUGAAAGCCGGGGACCUUCGGGCCUGGCGCGGAUAG
RNAcentral lists this ribosomal RNA (200 nucleotides) under uncultured bacterium. Its description in RNAcentral is "partial 16S ribosomal RNA". It matches the Rfam family "Bacterial small subunit ribosomal RNA", at positions 29 to 224 of the family's 1533-position model. The record is from RNAcentral.